Molecule: ribosomal RNA, 767 nt
Filed under: Pseudomonas aeruginosa
Lineage: Bacteria; Pseudomonadati; Pseudomonadota; Gammaproteobacteria; Pseudomonadales; Pseudomonadaceae
Description: bacterial SSU rRNA
Rfam family: Bacterial small subunit ribosomal RNA
Source: RNAcentral
UUUAUCUGAGGGCCAACGUGUGGGAGCUAAAGACCUAACGGUAUCAGAUGAGCCUGCGUCGUCAUUAGCUAGUUGGUGGGGUAAAGGCCUACCAAGGCGACGAUCCAUUAACUGGUCCUGACAGGAUGAACACCCACACCUGGGAACUGAGACACGGUCCAGUACUCCUACGGGCAGGCAAGCAGUUGGGGGAAUUAUUGGGACAAUGGGACGAAAGCCUGAUCCAGCCAUGCCGCGUGUGUGAAGAAGGUCUUCAUGAUUGUGAAGAACUUUAUGUUGCGAGGAGAGGCAGUAUUAUUAAUACCUUGUCUUGUAUUUGACGUUUCCAACAAUAACCACUAACUAACUUCCAGCCACCACCCGCGUACAUACGAACGGAGCAAUCUUUAAUUCUUAAUUACGUGGGCAGGAAUCGUCGCGCAGGUGAUUCAGCUAAGUUGGAUGUUUAUAUCCCCGGGCUCACCUGGUAACUGCAUCCCUGACUUACUGCUUAAGUACGGAAAAAGGUGGAGAAAUUUCCUGUGUGGCAGUUAAAUGCAUAUAUCUAGGAAGGAACACCACUGGCGAAGGCGACCACGUGCACAGAUACUGACACUGAGGUGCGAAAGCGUGGCGAGCAAACAUGAUUACAUACCCUGGCCACCACGCCGCAAACGAUGUCAACUAGCCGUUGGGAUCCUUGAGAUCUUAGUGGCACAGCUAACGCUAUANGUCUACCGCCUGGAGUACGGCCUAGGCUAAACUCUAUGAUUGACCCACCGCACAGC